UAAAGAUACUUGCGUCCGUUUCGGAUGCCUCGCGGAGAUCCCGGGAGGGGUGAAAUUCCCAUGA
This 64-nucleotide non-coding RNA is filed under the name human gut metagenome. RNAcentral's name for it is "pemK RNA". It matches the Rfam family "pemK RNA". The record is from RNAcentral.